UCCCUGGUGGCUCAGAUAGUAAAGCAUCUGCCUACAACGUGGGAGACCCAGGUUCAAUCCCUGGGUUGGGAA
Transfer RNA from Ovis aries (sheep), 72 nucleotides. It matches the Rfam family "tRNA". Rfam says of the family: Transfer RNA (tRNA) molecules are approximately 80 nucleotides in length. The record is from Rfam. NCBI's taxonomy places the organism in Eukaryota, Metazoa, Chordata, Mammalia, Artiodactyla, Bovidae.